Molecule: non-coding RNA, 96 nt
Filed under: Ditylum brightwellii
Lineage: Eukaryota; Bacillariophyta; Thalassiosirophyceae; Lithodesmiales; Lithodesmiaceae
Source: RNAcentral
GUAAAUCUUUCCUUUUCUUUGAAACCAAAUUUAUCAGAUAUUGAUCUUGACUAUGCAAUAUUUCUGUUCGAUUGCUGUGAACACUGAAACUGGUUU